Fusarium fujikuroi IMI 58289 is the source of this 74-nucleotide non-coding RNA. NCBI's taxonomy places the organism in Eukaryota, Fungi, Ascomycota, Sordariomycetes, Hypocreales, Nectriaceae. The record is from the annotation of a RefSeq genome assembly.
UGGUCUCGUGGCCUAGUUGGUUAUGGCAUCUCGUUUACACCGAGAAGGUCCUCGGUUCGAGCCCGAGCGGGACC